RNAcentral lists this transfer RNA (71 nucleotides) under Loxodonta africana (African savanna elephant). It matches the Rfam family "tRNA". From Rfam's summary of the family: Transfer RNA (tRNA) molecules are approximately 80 nucleotides in length. Lineage: Eukaryota; Metazoa; Chordata; Mammalia; Proboscidea; Elephantidae. The record is from Rfam by way of RNAcentral.
GCAUUGGUGGUUUGGUGGUAGAGUUCUCACCUUCCAGGAGGGAGAUCCGAGUUCGAUUCCCAGCCAGUGUA